UUGAUCAGGAUUUCCGACACAAUGUUUCUUUGUUGCAUCAUCCUUAUCCUUGCAGUCAUCAGAUGAAACACCAGGAAAGCUAUCAGGAAAGACAUGGGGUGAGUAAGGGGCAAAUAUCUGUUUCACUUGGCAAAAUUUGAUACCUUCAACAAUCUUGUUCAUUUCUUCAAAAUAUCCAUCAUGGCUAACAAUAAGUAAUGUCUCACUUAUCCCCUCUACCUUUGACAAGCUCUCCACAACUACUUUAAGAUAUUUGGGCCUAUUAUGAACAUAUAGGACAAUGGUUAUAUGAUCCUUAGCUAAAUUUGGAUAUAGAUCUGUAUUCCUUGGGGGUAACUGGUUAAGCUUCUCCAAUUGAAUUGACAAUUCAGUAUGUUUUGGGAGAUUGAGUAUUGCCGCAUAAUCUGAAUAAUUAUAACUUGGUCUCAAGUCUUCAUGACGUUCAGUUAAAUCGUGUGGCACAUAUUCUGAAACUGAAUUUGUUCGAAGUAGAAUGAUCAGUAGUAAAACCCCCAAUACUGUAACUAGAGCCAGAGAUACAAAUCGGCGAAAAGCCCCAUCCUUAAAGCGGUGUCUCUUGCCAUUAGUAGCCAUAACA
This 598-nucleotide unclassified non-coding RNA is filed under the name Hevea brasiliensis (rubber tree). Lineage: Eukaryota; Viridiplantae; Streptophyta; Magnoliopsida; Malpighiales; Euphorbiaceae. The record is from RNAcentral.